RNAcentral lists this ribosomal RNA (324 nucleotides) under uncultured Paulinella. RNAcentral's name for it is "partial small subunit ribosomal RNA". The stretch from base 107 to 324 matches the Rfam family "Eukaryotic small subunit ribosomal RNA", at positions 736 to 955 of the family's 1831-position model. The record is from RNAcentral. Lineage: Eukaryota; Cercozoa; Imbricatea; Euglyphida.
GAUUUCUGGCUGACCAUGAUGGUCGGGCGUCCCCAGGGCGCUUUGUACUGUCGUGUGUUUGCCAUCCUUCCAGAGAGUAGCGCCUACCGUCUCGUACGGCAGGGCGUUGCGAUCUGGAUCGUUUACUUUGAAAAAAUUAGAGUGUUCCAAGCAAGCUUACGCUUUGAAUACAUUAGCAUGGAAUAAUAAUAUAGGACUUCUGUUCUAUUUUGUUGGUUUCUAGGACCGAAGUAAUGAUUGAUAGGGACAGUUGGGGGUGCUAGUAUUCAGCGGCCAGAGGUGAAAUUCUUGGAUUCGCUGAAGACUAACCAUUGCGAAAGCAUU